UAUAAAGUCUAACCUGCCCACUGAUUGAAUUAAAUGGCCGCAGUAUUUUAACUGUGCAAAGGUAGCAUAAUCAUUAGUCUUUUAAUUGGAGGCUUGUAUGAAUGGUUGGACGAGAUAUAUACUGUAUCAAAAUAAUAUGUAGAAUUUUAUUUUUUAGUUAAAAAGCUAAAAUAUUUAUGAAAGACGAGAAGACCCUAUAGAUCUUUAUAUUUCAAUUAAUUUUAAGUAUUUAGAAGAUUUUAUUUAAGGUUUAUUGAAGUAUUUUGUUGGGGUGACAUUAAGAUUUAUUUAACUCUUAAUUUAUUAUUACAUUAAUUAUUGAAUAUAAUUGUGAUCCUUUAUUAUGGAUUGUAAAAUUAAGUUACCUUAGGGAUAMCAGCGUAAUUUUUCUAGAGAGUUCAUAUCGAUAGAAAAGAUUGCGACCUCGAUGUUGGAUUAAGAUUAAUUUUGGGUGUARAAGUUCAAUAAAUUAAGUCUGUUCGACUUUUAAUUUUUUACAUGAUCUGAGKUYAAACCGGGGUKAACCAGGUUGGGUUCYAUCUUUAUUAAUUUAAAAUAUUUUAGUACGAAAGGACCAAAUAUUUGAAUUAUAAUUUUUUAUAUUGAAUUUUAAUAAUUU
Molecule: ribosomal RNA, 619 nt
Filed under: Ligyra sinuatifascia
Lineage: Eukaryota; Metazoa; Arthropoda; Insecta; Diptera; Bombyliidae
Description: partial 16S ribosomal RNA
Rfam family: Bacterial large subunit ribosomal RNA
Source: RNAcentral